UCCCUUGCAUGAUAAUAAUAUUGAGAAACGCUUUGUAACUGCAGCAUACUAUAAUUUAUGCAGGUCUUUAAUAUUUCAGUAAAUUAUUCGUAUGAUUAAACAAGAUAACAACAAAAACCAAAAUAUACUGAUACUGCUGAUAGAUAGGCUAUUGUUAUAUAUGAGAAGGAAAGUAGGUUAUAGGCAUAGAAUUUGGGAGGCUAUAGGGCUAUACUUACCCCAAAUCUUCUUUAGUCUCCCUCAACAUCUCUUACAACUUCUCUGAAAAUGAGCAUGUAGUAAAAUGUUUUUUCGUUUCCCUUUUUUUUGGAAAAAAUAUACGAAACAAGUGUAGUUUUUAGCCCCUUUAGCUGCUCUGCAUUUUAAGCCUAUGGAAAAGGUAAAGUAGAUAGUUAUUUAAAAUAUUUAAGUAGAGAAUGAAUUGCCAAAUUCGGUCAAACAUGUUUUGAAAUGCC
Molecule: non-coding RNA, 455 nt
Organism: Cinara cedri
Lineage: Eukaryota; Metazoa; Arthropoda; Insecta; Hemiptera; Aphididae
Source: the annotation of a GenBank genome assembly